Molecule: unclassified non-coding RNA, 238 nt
Filed under: Infundibulomyces cupulata
Lineage: Eukaryota; Fungi; Ascomycota; Sordariomycetes; Chaetosphaeriales; Chaetosphaeriaceae
Description: partial contains 5.8S ribosomal RNA, internal transcribed spacer 2, and large subunit ribosomal RNA
Source: RNAcentral
CGCACAUUGCGCCCGCCGGCACUCCGGCGGGCAUGCCUGUCCGAGCGUCAUUGCACCCCUCAGGCCCUGCCUGGCGUUGGGAGACUGCUACUGCAGCUCCCCAAAGACAACGGCGGCGGGCGUCCCCGGACCGAGCGUAGUAAUACACCUCGUUCUGGCCGGGACGCCUCUCCGGCCGCAAAACCCCAACUCUUCAGUAGUUGACCUCGGAUCAGGUAGGAAUACCCGCUGAACUUAA